This is a long non-coding RNA of Phyllostomus discolor (pale spear-nosed bat), 1133 nucleotides long. RefSeq lists it as uncharacterized. The transcript has 2 exons. NCBI's taxonomy places the organism in Eukaryota, Metazoa, Chordata, Mammalia, Chiroptera, Phyllostomidae. The record is from RefSeq and is a predicted model, not a curated record.
UUGGGCAUAUGACUCUUCAUUUAGGGACCUUCUAAAUUCAUGGGGUAUCAGUGCAAAUGUUAGUGGGCCAGUAUUCCCUUGAAACUGUGUAUCCUUUUUAGAAUUUAAUGUAAGGGCCAUUCUUUGUCCAAUUUUUUAAAAUUAAAAACAAUAAUAAGUAUUUAUUCCUUGAAUCCAAGUGUACUAAAUUUGUAUAAAGCCUUGAGUUGGUUUAAAGUAAGCUUUUAAAAUGGAUGAUAGAAGCCUUAAAUAGUAGCCAGAAAUAGAAACAAUAUCCUCUGCUCUCUCCAAUUUAUCUACCACGCCCUCUGUGUCUGUUCCACACUCUCUGUCCCUUCCCCUUUGACAAAGAACAUGCUAUCUUUGCCUUCCUCCAGCUUCUCCUUCCCUUGUUCAUCAGCUGUUUCCUCUCCUUUGCUCAGCUGCAUGGCUCUAGCAUUUUCCCUCUCUGCCUUUUGCAUUGGCAUAGUUCCCUCUUUACCAGGUAAUUGCCAUCAGGAUACAAACAUGGCAUAGUGGCUCUCAUUUCAUUACACUUUUCUCAGUCCUGCAACCACCCCCCCAGCUGUUAUCUCGUUUCUUCACAGCAGAGCUCUUCAAAUCUUCUGUAUAUACUACCUCAAAUUUUCCCCAUUCUUUGUUAAACCCAUUCCAAUCAGGUGUUCUCUCGACCAGUUUAUCAGAGCUCCUCUUGUUAAGGUAACCAGUGACUUUCAUGUUGCUAAUCUAGUGAUUAGCUUUAAGUUUUAAUCUUUUUAAAAACAUUUAAUUCCCAUUUUUUUAAAAGUUCCAUCAGCUGUGUACAUUCAUCUUUCUUAAAUGGAGGAAUAAUUAACAUAUAAUUAAUUUCAGGUAUAUGACAUAAUGAUUUGAUAGUUCUAUAUAUUAUGAAAUGAUCACCACUGUAAUACUAGUUGACAUCUAUCACCAUAGUUAGUUAAUUUUGUUUUCUUGUAACAAGAACUUUUCAGAUCUACUCCUUUAGCAACUAUCAGAUACGCAAUACAGUAUUAUUAACUAUAGUCACCAUGCUUUACAUUGCAUCCCCAUAAUUUAUUUUAUAAUUGUAAGUUUGUACAUUUGACCGUCCUUAUCUUUGAUCUAUCAAUAUUUGGCACAACGUAAUCACUUUU